Molecule: non-coding RNA, 267 nt
Filed under: Enterococcus asini
Lineage: Bacteria; Bacillati; Bacillota; Bacilli; Lactobacillales; Enterococcaceae
Description: T-box sequence
Rfam family: T-box leader
About the family: Uncharged tRNA acts as the effector for transcription antitermination of genes in the T-box leader family. T-boxes are found upstream of many aminoacyl-tRNA synthetase genes and some amino acid biosynthetic genes usually in Gram-positive bacteria.
Source: RNAcentral
AUGAACGCUUUGAAAAGAAGAGUACAUGUCCGAUUCGUUUGACAGAGAGCCUCCUUAGCUGAAACGAGGUAGCGAUUGAAGAGAUGGAAGAUGGUCUUUGAGCAGAUUAAGUGAGCCGUGGCAAGCUUAAUACGGGAACGCCCGUUACAGCGUCCAGGUAUGCGCCCGAGCAGUUUUGAUUAGGGGCAAGUACCGCUGGAGGUUAUAAUCGUGAGGUUAUGGCGAAAAAAGGUGGUAACACGAAGUCUAUGGGGCCUCGUCCUUUGU